Vicugna pacos (alpaca) is the source of this 1865-nucleotide non-coding RNA. NCBI's taxonomy places the organism in Eukaryota, Metazoa, Chordata, Mammalia, Artiodactyla, Camelidae. The record is from RefSeq and is a predicted model, not a curated record.
GAAAGUGAGAGCUGAAAAAACAGGAGGGAGAAGAAGAAGAAAAAGAGAAAUUUGAAAGGGACACUGGAAACAGCGUCUGGAGGAACCGCACCACCUGACCUAGGGCCUUGGCCAUUGAAAGGAGGCUCGUUCCCAGCCUGAGCAGCGGGAAAACACACCUGGCCCUGGUGCCCCGGCUACGUCUUGUGUUUGCUGCAGGGCUCCCAGCCUCCAGAGUUGUCCUGAUGAGACAUGAGUGUGAAGUCGAAAGAGAAAGAUUAGACAAGACAUACUGAAAUGCUCCAAAUGAGUGUCCUCUUCUAGGCAACGUGUACCUUUGCUCCUAAUACUUUGCUCUUAUUCAUCAAGAACACAUGUGAACCGGCCUGGCUCCAUCCUCUCACUCUGCAGCUGGGAGCUCUUGAGGAAACUGGCUUACCUCUCUGAGCCUUCUUUCUUUCAUCUGAAAAAUGAGGUUAAUAAUAACAAAGACCUCAGAGGAUUGCUGUGAUGAUCAAAUCACACAAAUAUAAAAACGUGCUCAUACAAAUCAGUUAUUCUUUCAUUGUACAGGGAAUUGCAUUCGGAGACUCUCAACGUCUUCAGUGGUUCUGUUUCAUUUUCAAGUAGAAAUUUGGUUUCUGCAAUAGCCAACUGUCAUAUGAUUCUGGGACUAGUGAAUAAUGUGUGUGAUUUAGCAGAGCAACUGUAUUUUUACUUUUUUUAAUGGAGUGAUCUCUCAUAAAUACUGAGACUGGUUCCAUAUGUGAUGUGAACAUUGACCUCAACCCAUUGGAUCUCUAUUCAAAUUAUAUACAGAAGCCGAUCACUUCUCAGUAUCUCCUCUGCUACCACCUGUUCGAACUGACACCAUCAUCAUCUUUCUCCAGGAUUAUUGAAAAUAGCCUCCUAACUGGUGGUCCUACUUCACUAUUGCCAUAAAGAUAUUUUGAGCAAUGGUAGCAUCGCUGGCAUAAAUGUAUCAUCUCCCCAGAGGAGUGCUUUGACCAUCAUUAUUUAAAUAUUCACUUACUCAACAAAUAUUUAUGGAGCCUCUACCAUACAGCCAGCACCGUGCCAGGCUCUGGCAAUAUAUCAAUAAGGAAAACAGAUACAGAUCCCUGCCUCAUAGAAUGUGCAUUCUUGAGAGGCGCAGUGACCAUUACACAAAUAAACAAGCAACGUAUGGCCUUUGCCAGAUGGUGGUGGGCAUGGUGGAGAAAAAUAAUGGGGAGAAAGGGGGAAAAGAGCACAGGGAGUAGUGGUUGUUAUUUUAAACAUGGUGGCUGGUGGAGGUGGGGCAGAUAUCAGGAGUUUAGUUUAGGGAAUUGUAAAUUUGAUAUGCUUACUAGGUACCCAAAUGGAGAUGUCAGGUAAGACUUUCUUUUAGAAGAGUCUGGAAUUCAGAGGAGAGUUCUGGGCUAGAAAUAAAAGAUGUAUAGAUAGUUUCAAGAGGACUGGCUGAGGUCAUUGCUGGAAAGAAUGUGGAGAAGAGUUUCAAGGACUGAAUCUGUGACAAUCAGGCCAAUGAGUAGAAGCCAGGGUGAUGAGAAGGACCAGAAAUGAGAGUGAAAAGUGGCCAGGAAAGUGAGAGGAAAACUUACGGAGUGUAGUGGCCUGCAUGUUAUAGGAAGCAAGUAUUUCAACAAGUUCAAGUGCAUUUGCUACAAAGCCACCUUGUCACAUGUUACCACCAGGUAUCCACUGUGGAGGAGGAGAUACUGGCUCCCACGGAACAUGCCAAAUUUUGGUUCCUUUAUGGGUGAAUGAUUGCCACAGUUAAAGAUGGUCCAGCGAUUGAAAUUUAUUAUUUUGUUUAUAUAUACCUUUGAGCUGAUAAUGACUUUUGCAACCAAAAAAUACAGCAUUGACACAGUAAUCAUUGA